AACGCGAAAGGCCCCUUCGGGGGCCGAGUAGAGUGGCGUCCGGGUGAGUAACACGUAGGUAAUCUACCUCUGGGUGGGGAAUAACGACCGGAAACGGUCGCUAAUACCGCAUAAUGCAGCGGCACCACAUGGUGACAGUUGUUAAAGCGGGGGAUCGUAAGACCUCGCGCCUAGAGAGGAGCCUGCGGCGGAUUAGCUAGUUGGUAGGGUAAUGGCCUACCAAGGCAACGAUCCGUAGCCGGCCUGAGAGGGCGGUCGGCCACACUGGCACUGACACACGGGCCAGACUCCUACGGGAGGCAGCAGUCGGGAAUUUUGGGCAAUGGGCGAAAGCCUGACCCAGCAACGCCGCGUGAAGGAUGAAGCUUUUCGGAGUGUAAACUUCAUAAGAAUGGGACGAAUAAGGAAGGGUUAAUACCCCUUUUGAUGACGGUACCAUUUGUAAGCUCCGGCUAACUCCGUGCCAGCAGCCGCGGUAAUACGGGGGGAGCAAGCGUUGUUCGGAUUUACUGGGCGUAAAGGGCGCGUAGGCGGCGCAACAAGUCACUUGUGAAAUCUCCGGGCUUAACCCGGAGCGGCCAAGUGAUACUGUCGUGCUAGAGUGCGGAAGGGGCUACUGGAAUUCUCGGUGUAGCGGUGAAAUGCGUAGAUAUCGAGAGGAACACCUGCGGCGAAGGCGGGUAGCUGGGCCGACACUGACGCUGAGGCGCGAAAGCCAGGGGAGCGAACGGGAUUAGAUACCCCGGUAGUCCUGGCCUUAAACGA
This 765-nucleotide ribosomal RNA is filed under the name uncultured bacterium. RNAcentral's name for it is "bacterial SSU rRNA". It matches the Rfam family "Bacterial small subunit ribosomal RNA", at positions 65 to 809 of the family's 1533-position model. The record is from RNAcentral.